Molecule: long non-coding RNA, 482 nt
Organism: Microplitis mediator
Lineage: Eukaryota; Metazoa; Arthropoda; Insecta; Hymenoptera; Braconidae
Exons: 3
Source: RefSeq, a predicted model, not a curated record
CGUGCAAUUAAAUCCUUGGAAAAUCAUAUAAAUACCUCGGUUGUGAUGAAUUUUAAUUAUGAAUAUUUCUGACUUACAUCAAGUUGUAAGUGAUAUUAAAUAAUUCAACUGCCCCAGUUCAUUGGUAAUUAAGCAGCAAAAAUGAGUAGAAUCUUCCUUAUUUUUCUCAUAAUUGGAAUCUUAGCCGCCGUUGCAUUAGAAGCAAGCGGUUGUUAUCAUCCGACUAAACCACCUGCGACUACUAUGUGUCCUACUACUACUAUGUGUCCUACUACUACUAAGUGUCCGACCACGACUCACAAACCUUGUCAUGGACAUUAAUCUCGUUGAAUUAUACAAAUUUUUAAACUAAUAAUAGGUUUUUACAACUCAUCAUUGGUUUCAAUAUGGAAUAAAAACAUUAGUUUAAAUAAAUAUGUAUACUCCGAUAUCUUCUGUAACAACUGAAUCCAUAAAAUAAAUUUAUUUCAUCAGAAAUUAAA